RNAcentral lists this ribosomal RNA (330 nucleotides) under uncultured bacterium. RNAcentral's name for it is "bacterial SSU rRNA". It matches the Rfam family "Bacterial small subunit ribosomal RNA", at positions 28 to 334 of the family's 1533-position model. The record is from RNAcentral.
GAUGAACGCUGGCGGCAUGCCUAAGACAUGCAAGUCGAACGCGGAGGCCCACUGAAAGUGGAGUGCUUGCACAAAACUGGAUGUGGAUUUUCCUCCGAGUGGCAAACGGGUGAGUAACACGUGGGUUACCUGCCUCUAUGUUGGGGAUAACAGUUGGAAACGAUUGCUAAUACCGAAUGUGCUCUACGGAGUAAAGAAGCCCUUAAAGCUUCGCAUAGAGAUGGGCCUGCGGUGCAUUAGCUUGUUGGUGGGGUAAUGGCCUACCAAGGCAACGAUGCAUAGCCGAGCUGAGAGGUUGAUCGGCCACACUGGGACUGAGACACGGCCCAG